Molecule: ribosomal RNA, 468 nt
Filed under: uncultured bacterium
Lineage: Bacteria
Description: partial 16S ribosomal RNA
Rfam family: Bacterial small subunit ribosomal RNA
Source: RNAcentral
GACGAACGCUGGCGGCGUGCUUAACACAUGCAAGUCGAACGGCAAGGCCCUGCUUUUGUGGGGUGCUCGAGUGGCGAACGGGUGAGUAACACGUGAGUAACCUGCCCUUGACUUUGGGAUAACUUCAGGAAACUGGGGCUAAUACCGGAUAGGAGCUCCUGCUGCAUGGUGGGGGUUGGAAAGUUUCGGCGGUUGGGGAUGGACUCGCGGCUUAUCAGCUUGUUGGUGGGGUAGUGGCUUACCCAGGCUUUGACGGGUAGCCGGCCUGAGAGGGUGACCGGCGACAUGGGGACUGAGGUACGGACCAGAGUCGUACGGGAGACAGUAGUGGGGAACAUUGCACAGUGAGCGGAAGUCUGAGGCAACAACGCCGCGUGCGGAAUGACGGCCUUCUGGUUGUAAACCGCUGUCGCCUGUGACGAAGCGUGAGUGACGGUAAUGGGUAAAGAAGCACCGGCUAACUACGUG